RNAcentral lists this ribosomal RNA (406 nucleotides) under uncultured bacterium. RNAcentral's name for it is "partial 16S ribosomal RNA". It matches the Rfam family "Bacterial small subunit ribosomal RNA", at positions 30 to 526 of the family's 1533-position model. The record is from RNAcentral.
AUUGAACGCUGGCGGCAGGCCUAACACAUGCAAGUCGAACGAGUGGCGGACGGGUGAGUAAUGUCUGGGAAACUGCCUGAUGGAGGGGGAUAACUCCUGGAAACGGUAGCUAAUACCGCAUACCAUCGGAUGUGCCCAGAUUGGAUUAGCUAGUAGGUGGGGUAAAGGCUCACUUAGGCGACGAUCCCUAGCUGGUCUGAGAGGAUGACCGGCCAACCUGGAAGUGAGCCACGGUCAAGACUCCUACGGGAGGCGCCGGUGGGGAGUAUUGCAAAAUGGGCGCUAGCCUGAUGCAGGCAGGCCGCGUGUAUGAAGAAGGCCUUCGGGUUGUAAAGUACGUUCAGCGGGGAGGGGUUACCCGCAGAAGAAGCACCGGCUAACUCCGCGCCAGCAGCCGCGGUAAUAC